Molecule: non-coding RNA, 249 nt
Organism: Pelobates cultripes (western spadefoot toad)
Lineage: Eukaryota; Metazoa; Chordata; Amphibia; Anura; Pelobatidae
Source: the annotation of a GenBank genome assembly
AUUUGCCUCUCACUUCCCUCUGGGUAGUGGUGGACUGAUAAUCGGUGUUGGAGCUACUGGUAGAAGGGAUUGCUAAAUUUUCAGGACAGAAAUGAAUCGAAUGAGCUGCCGAUGAGCAUAUGGCGCAGGAAGGAGUUUUGAGACGUGCAAAAUGCAUCAGAAACAAUUCUGUAUCUAACUGUGCCCAGUCUGUGAUUGUAUUGUAUUGAGACAGUAAUGCGGCAGAUCUGGAUGUGAAUGACUUGUGAU